RNAcentral lists this ribosomal RNA (459 nucleotides) under uncultured bacterium. Its description in RNAcentral is "SSU rRNA". It matches the Rfam family "Bacterial small subunit ribosomal RNA", at positions 26 to 518 of the family's 1533-position model. The record is from RNAcentral.
AGAAUCAACGCUGGCGGCGUGCCUAACACAUGCAAGUCGCACGAGAAAGGGGCUUCGGUCCUGAGUAAAGUGGCGUACGGGUGAGUAACACGUGAAUUAUCUACCUCCGAGUGGGGAAUAACCUAGAGAAAUCUGGGCUAAUACCGCAUAACACUUACGAGUCAAAGCAGUAAUGCGCUUGGAGAGGAGUUCGCGGCAGAUUAGCUAGUUGGCGGGGUAAUGGCCCACCAAGGCAAUGAUCUGUAUCCGGCCUGAGAGGGCGCACGGACACACUGGAACUGAAACACGGUCCAGACUCCUACGGGAGGCAGCAGUGGGGAAUUUUGCGCAAUGGGGGAAACCCUGACGCAGCAACGCCGCGUGGAGGAUGAAAUCCCUUGGGAUGUAAACUCCUUUCGAUAGGGAAGAUAAUGACGGUACCUAUAGAAGAAGCCCGGCUAACUUCGCGCCAGCAGCCGC